CCCUAAUAUUACCCUUCUGCGCCGCAUCAUACUCUUCAUCUUAUAAAUUUCAUCUCCCACUUCAACUUUUUCAUUUCUCAUUCUUUACCUUCUCUGCACUGUAUAGUUUCAAACAUUGCUUUAAUUUUGAUAAUUAUUUUCAUGAAUAUAAUGUCAGUAUUGAUUAUGCCCUUUUGAGUAGUACUAUGAAACUUUAUCAAUUUCAUACAUGACUUAGUUAGGGGGCAAAUAUUAAUAGAAAUCUAAUGUUUAUUAGAUUUCUCUCAAAGAUAGGUUGUUUAUUGAAGGAACAAUCUGUUCUGUUGUAUUAGUUGUUCUUCAAACACCCUUUCACAUUUGAAAUUUUUUUAAAUUUAGGUUAUUAUCUUUACAUAUCUCUGUUGUAAUCUGCUGCUGAAAGGCAUAAAUUUCACUUUAUAUAAAUCAAUUGUGAAAUGUGUGUCAUCCACUUUGUUUGUUAUUUCACAGAUUACAAUCUAUAUCAGAUUUAAUUUUUUUUUUCUUGUUGUAACAUAUGCCUUCGAAUAAUUAAACAGCUAUACAGUAGUAUAGAUGUUGUUUAGUUCAGACAGAGGCAAAUAUCAAAUAUUAAAUAUCU
Molecule: long non-coding RNA, 598 nt
Filed under: Medicago truncatula (barrel medic)
Lineage: Eukaryota; Viridiplantae; Streptophyta; Magnoliopsida; Fabales; Fabaceae
Description: lncRNA gene35125
Rfam family: Small nucleolar RNA U19 (bases 207-338)
Source: RNAcentral